UUUGCAUAUUCAAAAAGCGGAGGAAAAGAAACCAACAGGGAUUGCCUCAGUAACGGCGAGUGAAGCGGCAACAGCUCAAAUUUGAAAUCUGGCCUCCCGGGGUCCGAGUUGUAAUUUGUAGAGGAUGUUUUGGGUACCGCCCCGGUUUAAAUUUCUUGGAACAGAAUGUCAGAGAGGGUGAGAAUCCCGUCUUGGACCGGUGGUAGGGCCUGUGUAAAACUCCUUCGACGAGUCGAGUUGUUUGGGAAUGCAGCUCAAAAUGGGUGGUAAAUUUCAUCUAAAGCUAAAUAUUGGCCAGAGACCGAUAGCGCACAAGUAGAGUGAUCGAAAGAUGAAAAGAACUUUGAAAAGAGAGUUAAACAGUAUGUGAAAUUGUUGAAAGGGAAGCGCUUGCAACCAGACUUGAGCGCGACGGUUCCCCUAGCCUUUUGGCUAGGUUACUCCGUCGUGUCCAGGCCAACAUCGGUUCUGAGGGUCGGUCAAAGGCUCUGGGAAUGUAUCUACCCACGGGUAGACUUAUAGACCAGGGUGUCAUGCGACCUCUCGGGACCGAGGAACGCGCUUCGGCUCGGAUGUUGGCGUAAUGGUUGUCAGCGACCCGUCUUGAACCAACGGACCAA
This 620-nucleotide ribosomal RNA is filed under the name Cladophialophora carrionii. RNAcentral's name for it is "LSU rRNA". It matches the Rfam family "Eukaryotic large subunit ribosomal RNA", at positions 35 to 669 of the family's 3401-position model. The record is from RNAcentral. Lineage: Eukaryota; Fungi; Ascomycota; Eurotiomycetes; Chaetothyriales; Herpotrichiellaceae.